GGGUUGGUAAGGGCAAUAUAGUCAACAUCUGUCAUUCCAUUGCUUGUCAGUAUCAUUUUAGCUGAUUUGUCUGACUGGGCAGGUGUCCCCUCUCUCCCUCAGUGCUCCAUGUGCAUCCCUCUUGAAGCUUCGUACUCUGUUGAAGAGGACACUCAUCCCAGGUAGAGAGGUGGGUGGG
Molecule: small nuclear RNA, 178 nt
Filed under: Otolemur garnettii (small-eared galago)
Lineage: Eukaryota; Metazoa; Chordata; Mammalia; Primates; Galagidae
Description: 7SK RNA
Rfam family: 7SK RNA
About the family: 7SK was discovered as an abundant small nuclear RNA in the mid-70s but a possible function has only recently been suggested. Two independent studies have found that 7SK RNA binds the CDK9/cyclin T complex (known as elongation factor P-TEFb).
Source: Rfam by way of RNAcentral